GACGAACGCUGGCGGCGUGCCUAAUACAUGCAAGUAGAACGCUGAAGAGAGGAGCUUGCUCUUCUUGGAUGAGUUGCGAACGGGUGAGUAACGCGUAGGUAACCUGCCUUGUAGCGGGGGAUAACUAUUGGAAACGAUAGCUAAUACCGCAUAACAAUGGAUGACACAUGUCAUUUAUUUGAAAGGGGCAAUUGUUCCACUACAAGAUGGACCUGCGUUGUAUUAGCUAGUAGGUGAGGUAAUGGCUCACCUAGGCGACGAUACAUAGCCGACCUGAGAGGGUGGUCGGCCACACUGGGACUGAGACACGGCCCAGACUCCUACGGGAGGCAGCAGUAGGGAAUCUUCGGCAAUGGGGGCAACCCUGACCGAGCAACGCCGCGUGAGUGAAGAAGGUUUUCGGAUCGUAAAGCUCUGUUGUAAGUCAAGAACGGGUGUGAGAGUGGAAAGUUCACACUGUGACGGUAGCUUACCAGAAAGGGACGGCUAACUACGUG
RNAcentral lists this ribosomal RNA (497 nucleotides) under uncultured bacterium. RNAcentral describes it as "partial 16S ribosomal RNA". It matches the Rfam family "Bacterial small subunit ribosomal RNA", at positions 28 to 507 of the family's 1533-position model. The record is from RNAcentral.